GGUUGUUUGAACCUGACAUUUAUUUGGUCCUUCGAGAGCCGGAUCCCAAUUACGCCUGAGGAUCCCAGCGGGUUGGUGGACUCCAGUAAAGACCGUGCGCAUGGCAGGCUUCAUCAGGGAGACUCACAAACCCUUUCCGGAACUGGAUCUCGGCCCGCCCGCUGGGGUCUGACGGCUGACGGAACUCUGAGAGAGAGGAGAGGACAAAGUGAACAGAGACCGAAGGCUCAAAUUAUUGCUGAUAGAGACUUUUCACCAGGGAGCAGUGUGACCCUCACCUGCUCUGUUAAACCAUCACAUUGUUGGAAUUACUACUGGUACAGAGAUGAAAACACCUCCAAACCCCUGGACUAAAUUCCCCUUCAAACGGAGAAAUCAUUAUAUCAGAGAAUGGGAUAUAUUUCUGCAGAGGAGGAAGAGGACAUCCCGUUUACUACACAGAGUACAGUCAUUCUGUUACUAUUGAUAUAACUGACACAAACAUGUCUGCUGUGACUCAGCAACCCAUCUGGCCAGAGAUAUACUAUGGGGAGAAGAUCACUCUGAUAUGUGAGAUCCAGGGACACCAGACAGAUUGGGUUUUUGAAUGGAUGAGAACAAGCAGGGAUGAACCAUGGAUCCAAAAUGAAAUGAACAUUACUUUACUUCUUUUCAUUUCAAGAGGAGUACUUCUGGUGUAAAGGCAGGAGGAAGAGUGUUCCACAUAUUGUCACUUCAUGGAGUGCCCCCUUUAAAAGCAAACGUGUUAACUGGCAGCCUGUUCCUGUCCUGAGUGUAUCUCCAUCAUGGCUGAGUCCUGGAGCCUCAGUAACUCUGAAGUGUGUGGUUCAACCUCCAUCUACAGGUUGGAGGUUCUACUGGUAUAAAGCUGUUCCUG
Long non-coding RNA from Girardinichthys multiradiatus, 877 nucleotides. RefSeq lists it as uncharacterized. The record is from RefSeq and is a predicted model, not a curated record. NCBI's taxonomy places the organism in Eukaryota, Metazoa, Chordata, Actinopteri, Cyprinodontiformes, Goodeidae. The transcript is spliced from 4 exons.